AGAACAUUAGCUGCCUUCACGUCUCUGUGGAUUAUUUUGGAUCACAUUGCUCAUGUAAAUAAAGAAGUCCCCUCGCAGCUCCAAUUGCAAUCCUCUUCCUCGUAUUCCAGUCUAGAGCUGGUUUUCCUGCCAAACCCAACUCAUUUACAAGACAUUGCCAAAACCUCCGGUGCCUAGAAUGUUCUUGGAGCUGAAGUUAUCUGUAGCAAGCUGGAGUUCCCUGAAAGUGAAGUUUCUCAGGUUACCUAGGCUUAUGAGGCCUUCUUCUUGUUUGUCUGCAAUAUACGUGUGACAACAUUAAAUCGUAUUAAAUAAACAUAUAAAAGAAAACUUUCGACAUUUA
This is a long non-coding RNA of Gossypium arboreum, 343 nucleotides long. RefSeq lists it as uncharacterized. The record is from RefSeq and is a predicted model, not a curated record. Lineage: Eukaryota; Viridiplantae; Streptophyta; Magnoliopsida; Malvales; Malvaceae. The transcript is spliced from 2 exons.